CCUACGGGAGACUGCAGUUGAGAAUCAUUCACAAUGGGGGAAACCCUGAUGGUGCGACGCCGCGUGGGGGAAUGAAGGUCUGCGGAUUGUAAACCCCUGUCAUGUGGGAGCAAAGUAAAAAGAUAGUACCACAAGAGGAAGAGACGGCUAACUCGGUGCCAGCAGCCGCGGUAAUACAGAGGUCUCAAGCGUUGUUCGGAAUCACUGGGCGUAAAGGGUGCGGAGGCUGUUUCGUAAGUCGUGUGUGAAAGGCGCGGGCUCAACCCGCGGACGGCACAUGAAACUGGGAGACUAGAGUAAUGGAGGGGGAACCGGAAUUCGCGGUGUAGCAGUGAAAUGCGUAGAUAUCGAGAGGAACACUCGUGGCGAAGGCGGGUUCCUGGACAUUAACUGACGCUGAGGCACGAAGGCGAGGGGAGCGAAAGGGAUUAGAUACCCUAGUAGUC
Molecule: ribosomal RNA, 446 nt
Filed under: uncultured bacterium
Lineage: Bacteria
Description: partial 16S ribosomal RNA
Rfam family: Bacterial small subunit ribosomal RNA
Source: RNAcentral